CACGUAGGCGGCCGUGUAAGUCAGAUGUGAAAGCCCCGGGCUUAACCUGGGAACUGCAUUUGAUACUGUACGGCUUGAGUCUGAUAGAGGGGGUGGAAUUCCAGGUGUAGCGGUGAAAUGCGUAGAUAUCGGGAAGAACACCAGUGGCGAAAGCGGCCUUCUGGCACUCACCUGACGCUGAGGUGCGAAAGCGUGGGGAGCGAACG
RNAcentral lists this ribosomal RNA (206 nucleotides) under uncultured bacterium. RNAcentral describes it as "partial 16S ribosomal RNA". It matches the Rfam family "Bacterial small subunit ribosomal RNA", at positions 568 to 774 of the family's 1533-position model. The record is from RNAcentral.